GUGAACGCUGGCGGUAGGCCUAACACAUGCAAGUCGCACGGCAGCACAGUAAGAGCUUGCUCUUACGGGUGGCGAGUGGCGGACGGGUGAGGAAUACAUCGGAAUCUACUUUUUCGUGGGGGAUAACGUAGGGAAACUUACGCUAAUACUGCAUACGACCUACGGGUGAAAGCAGGGGAUCUUCGGACCUUGCGCGAUUGAAUGAGCCGAUGUCGGAUUAGCUAGUUGGCGGGGUAAAGGCCCACCAAGGCGACGAUCCGUAGCUGGUCUGAGAGGAUGAUCAGCCACACUGGAACUGAGACACGGUCCAGACUCCUACGGGAGGCAGCAGUGGGGAAUAUUGGACAAUGGGCGCAAGCCUGAUCCAGCCAUACCGCGUGGGUGAAGAAGGCCUUCGGGUUGUAAAGCCCUUUUGUUGGGAAAGAAAAGCAGCAGGUUAAUACCCCGCUGUUCUGACGGUACCCAAAGAAUAAGCACCGGCUAACUUCGUG
Molecule: ribosomal RNA, 491 nt
Filed under: uncultured bacterium
Lineage: Bacteria
Description: partial 16S ribosomal RNA
Rfam family: Bacterial small subunit ribosomal RNA
Source: RNAcentral